GAUGAACGCUGGCGGCGUGCCUAAUACAUGCAAGUCGAGCGAACGGACGAGAAGCUUGCUUCUCUGAUGUUAGCGGCGGACGGGUGAGUAACACGUGGAUAACCUACCUAUAAGACUGGGAUAACUUCGGGAAACCGGAGCUAAUACCGGAUAAUAUUUUGAACCGCAUGGUUCAAAAGUGAAAGACGGUCUUGCUGUCACUUAUAGAUGGAUCCGCGCUGCAUUAGCUAGUUGGUAAGGUAACGGCUUACCAAGGCAACGAUGCAUAGCCGACCUGAGAGGGUGAUCGGCCACACUGGACCUGAGCCACGGUCCAGACUCCUACGGGAGGCAGCAGUAGGGAAUCUUCCGCAAUGGGCGAAAGCCUGACGGAGCAACGCCGCGUGAGUGAUGAAGGUCUUCGGAUCGUAAAACUCUGUUAUUAGGGAAGAACAUAUGUGUAAGUAACUGUGCACAUCUUGACGGUACCUAAUCAGAAAGCCACGGCUAACUACGUG
This 497-nucleotide ribosomal RNA is filed under the name uncultured bacterium. RNAcentral's name for it is "partial 16S ribosomal RNA". It matches the Rfam family "Bacterial small subunit ribosomal RNA", at positions 28 to 507 of the family's 1533-position model. The record is from RNAcentral.